Molecule: long non-coding RNA, 428 nt
Filed under: Rattus norvegicus (Norway rat)
Lineage: Eukaryota; Metazoa; Chordata; Mammalia; Rodentia; Muridae
Description: long non-coding RNA NONRATT028306
Source: RNAcentral
ACCAGCCCCAGAGUCCGUGUUUUAUACCUUAAGUUCCUUUAUUUAUAAAGUGAGAACAACACUCUCUUUCUCAGUUGGCAGCCCAGUUCCUAGCUCGCCCUCUGGCUCCAGGGGAGGCGUACGUGCUGCGGCAUUUUCUUGGUAGGACUGUGUAUUUAUGCGGUUUGAUGAGUGUUCAGAUGACAGGGAAAUGUCACACUGUCGUGGAGUGACUUCAUGGCAUGUGAAUGUGGGCAUUAAGGCAGCUCUGGGAUUUUAUGCUGUCUUUCUUUCCUGUCAGGCCUUCUUCCUAGAGAGCCUAUCUACGUCUACGAAGCAAACAUAGAGGUAGAAGGAACGGUGACUGACAACCAGGCAAACUGUUACCAGGAUUCAGUGACCUUCGAUGAUGUGGCUGUGGAGUUCACCCCGGAUGAGUGGACUUUACU